UGCCGCUUGCGAGGGCGUAUGGUGGAUGCCUUGGCAGACAGUACCGAUGAAGGACGUUUGAGGAUGCGAUAAUCCUAGGGGAGCCUCCAACAUGGCUUUGAUCCUAGGGUCUCCGAAUGGGGGAACCCGCCGGCCGUCAUGGGCCGGCACCGCCUAUGGGCGGGGGGUACGCAGGGAAGUGAAACAUCUCAGUACCUGCAGGAAGGGAUACUCCGUGAGUAGUGGCGAGCGAAAGCGGAUCAGACCAAACCGGUUGCGCGUGAUACCCGUCGGGGGUUGCGUUGCCGGUGUCGUGGGAUCACGUGUCCCGGUUCCGACGGGCCGGGCGGGAGUCAUAAAACGGCUUGCCAGGGGAACAGGCUUGAAGGCCUGGCCGUAGAGGGUGCCAGCCCCGUACCUGGACGUGAGCCGUCUUCCGAUCGUGUUGUCCCAAGUAGCGCGGGCCUCGUGGAAUCCCGCGUGAAUCAGCCCAGACCGUUGGGUAAGUCUAAGCAUACCUGUCUGACCGAUAGCGUACCAGUACCGUGAGGGAAAGGUGAAAAGCACCCCGGGAGGGGAGUGAAACAGUUCCUGAAACCGUGCGCCCACAAACCGUCGGAGCCUCCUUGUGGGGUGACGGCGUGCCUAUCGAAAAAUGAGUCUGCGAGUCAGUGGCGGGUGGCGAGCAUAAGCCGUGUGGCGUAUGCGUAGCGAAAGCGAGUCCGAAUAGGGCGUUUCCAGUCGCUUGUCCUGGACCCGAAGCGGGAUGAUCUAGCCCUGGGCAGGUUGAAGCGCGGGUAAGACCGCGUGGAGGACCGAACCCACCUGGGUUGAAAACCGGGGGGAUGACCUGGGGCUAGGGGUGAAAGGCCAAUCAAAUUCCGUGAUAGCUGGUUCUCUCCGAAAUGCAUUUAGGUGCAGCGUCGGUCGAUUGCGUCGCGGGGGUAGAGCUACCGGAUGCUUGCGGGCCCUUGUUGGGUACCAACAGCAGCCGAACUCCGAAUACCGUUGACGUGUAUUCCGGCAGUGAGUCGGCGGGGGAUAAGCUCCGUCGUCGAGAGGGAGACAGCCCAGACCGUCGUCUAAGGUCCCGAAGCGUGUGCUAAGUGGGAAAGGAUGUGGAGUCGCAUAGACAGCCAGGAGGUUGGCUCAGAAGCAGCCAUCCUUGAAAGAGUGCGUAACAGCUCACUGGUCUAGUGGUUCCGCGCCGACAAUGUAGCGGGGCUCAAGCACACCACCGAAGACGCGGCAGCAAUCUUCAUGGUUGCUGGGUAGGAGAGCGUCCUGCGAGGGGCGAAGCGGCCGGGUAACCGUGCCGUGGACUUCGUGGGAGUGAGAAUGCAGACAUGAGUAGCGAGAGACGGGUGAGGAUCCCGUCCGCUGGAUGACCAAGGGUUCCGGGGCCACGUUCGUCGUCCCCGGGUGAGUCGGGUCCUAAGGCGAGGCCGACAGGCGUAGUCGAAUGGAUGAACGGGUGGAUAUUCCCGUACCGACCAUGGACCGGCAAAACCGAGACGGUGAGUACUAACCUCCGCCUCGUGGUGGUUCCUUCCUUCGGGUUGGUGUCGCCGCGUGGUGUUGGGACUGUAGCCGUAGUAGGUCAGCGCAGGGGUGACACGGAAUGGGAGCCGGCCGCGGAGGUGGUUUUCCGUGGUCAAGCACGCAGCCAGUCAUGUAGGCAAAUCCGCAUGGCGUGCAUGGCGAGGUGUGAUGAUGGGAGCCUUUUGGGCUCGAUAUCCGGUUGUCCAGGCCGUCGAGAAAAGCCUCGGCGUGAGGGCCAUGGCCGCCCGUACCCCAAACCGACACUGGUGGUCAGGUAGAGAAUACCAAGGCGAUCGAGCGAAUCCUGGUCAAGGAACUCGGCAAAUCACUCCCGUGCCUUCGGUAUAAGGGAGACCCACUGGGGUGAAGGACCUUGCGUCCGGAGCUUUGGUGGGUGGCACAGACCAGGGGGUAGCGACUGUUUACCAAAAACACAGGUGCAUGCGAAGGCGAAAGCCGCUGUAUAUGCACUGACGCCUGCCCGGUGCCGGAAGGUUAAGAGGAGAUGUCACACUUAUGUGGAAGCAUUGAAUUGAAGCCCCGGUAAACGGCGGCCGUAACUAUAACGGUCCUAAGGUAGCGAAAUUCCUUGUCAGGUAAG
RNAcentral lists this ribosomal RNA (2122 nucleotides) under human gut metagenome. RNAcentral describes it as "bacterial LSU rRNA". It matches the Rfam family "Bacterial large subunit ribosomal RNA", at positions 1 to 1980 of the family's 2925-position model. The record is from RNAcentral.